This 460-nucleotide ribosomal RNA is filed under the name uncultured bacterium. Its description in RNAcentral is "partial 16S ribosomal RNA". It matches the Rfam family "Bacterial small subunit ribosomal RNA", at positions 338 to 795 of the family's 1533-position model. The record is from RNAcentral.
CCUACGGGAGGCUGCAGUGAGGAAUAUUGGUCAAUGGCCGGAAGUCUGAACCAGCCAUGCCGCGUGAAGGUCAGUGCCCUAUGGGCGUUAAACUUCUUUUGUGCGGGAGCAAUAAUGGUCACGUGUGGCCCGACUAGAGUACCGUACGAAUAAGCAUCGGCUAACUCCGUGCCAGCAGCCGCGGUCAUACGGGGGAUGCAAGCGUUAUCCGGAUUUAUUGGGUUUAAAGGGUGCGUAGGCUGUGAGGUAAGUCAGCGGUGAAAUGCCCCCGCUCAACGGGGUGAAGUGCCAUUGAUACUGCGGGGCUGGAAUGCGGAUGCGGUGGGAGGAAUGUGUGGUGUAGCGGUGAAAUGCAUAGAUAUCACACAGAACACCGAUUGCGAAGGCAUCUCACGAAGCCGCGAUUGACGCUGAUGCACGAAAGCGUGGGUAUCAAACAGGAUUAGAUACCCCUGUAGUC